Photinus pyralis (common eastern firefly) is the source of this 328-nucleotide long non-coding RNA. RefSeq lists it as uncharacterized. The transcript is spliced from 2 exons. The record is from RefSeq and is a predicted model, not a curated record. Lineage: Eukaryota; Metazoa; Arthropoda; Insecta; Coleoptera; Lampyridae.
GUAAUUAUUUCAGCGACAAAGUACCGUUGGUUGCUGGUGUAAUUCUAAUUGUUGCAAUUCAUUGGACUUGGUAUAGAAUACAACAUGUUCCUUAUUUGGUGUCAGAGUCGGAAAGGAAAAACAUGCCUGUUGUGCUUGCUCUCAGGUAUAUGAAGAACAAGACAGUUGAAACUUUUUCAAGUUCUGCUCCUACGGAGACUCCACCAAAUGAAAAGAAAAGUGUCUAAAGUGAAUGGUGAAUGCAUUAGUCCGUUAUGUAAUAUAUUGUAUAGGUUUAUGAAUUAAAAAUUGUUACUUUAAUAUAUUAAAUCAAGUAUUAUAAAUAUUA